CUAAAGACUCUGGUCUUUAGGCAACAAAGAGUUCAAGAAAAUAUACUAACAACACAACUGCAGAUCAACAUCUUGGGUCAGACUAGAACAUGUCAGGAUGGGGUGACUAUCAAGACCACGGCAGUGGAGAUAAUUAUGGGAGCACAUUUGUUUUUAGGAAAGAAUCAGAACUGGAUCUUGGAGGAAGAGUCACAUAUGGUGAGGAAAAUGAUGAAGAUGAGCAUCAAGAAGAUACAAAGGUUCGAAAGAUAACCAAGGUCAAAAACUGGAUUCCUUCAGAACCACCAUCUAGAACUGGCUGGCUUCUUUACAAAAGGGGCCUCGAGUGAGGAGUGAAAUACUUACAACUACAUGAAUGCAAAGCAAAAACAAAUGAAGAAUGAAAAGAGAGGAGAAACAGAAAACAAUAAGCCUGGAGGGAGAAGAUUAUAUUGUGUGGGAGUACCAAUACCAGCAGGGAAAAAAUAGAAAAGUCAAUAGUCAACACAAGAAGUUUGGUUGUGCUGUGUGUCACUGAGAGCCUGAUGGACCGAAUGUGAGCUAAUGAUUACAAAAAGAAUUUCAGUUUGCCUCAAGUAGCCAUCUACACCUCUUGUUGUUUUUGAUUAUGAAGUGGUACAUUAUCGCAUUGAUAUUUCCUUUUGCUUUCUAUUGGUUCACAUGGAUUUGUAUUACCAGGUUAUUAUGUGAGGUUGUUAGGUGAUUCUGAGGCCUGCUUUAAAGAAGUUUAAGGUUAAAAAAAAAAAAAAAAGAAACCUUUUGAAUUAGUAUUUUCAUUUUCUUUGGCUAAAUACCCAGAAGUGGAAUUACUAAAUUGUAUGGUACUUCUAUUUCAGUUUUAUUGCAGCAUUAUUUACAAUGGAAUGAUGAAGGGAUGAACAAGAUGUGGCAUAUAUAUACAAGGGAAUAUUAAUGGAAUAUUACUCAGCUACACAAAAAAAGACUGAGAUCAUGCCAUUCACAACAACAUGGAUGGACCUGGAGUGUUUUAUGCUAGAUGAAAUAAGUCAGACAGAAAGACAAGUACCAGAGGUUUCACUUAUAUGUGGAAUCAAAACAACAAAACAAAUGAAUGAACUAAUAAACAAAGACAUAGACUCAUAACUAUAGAGAACAAACUGGUGGUUUCCAGGGGGUAGAGGAGCUGAGGAGCAGAUGAAAGAGGUGAUAGGCCUGAAGAGGUAGAAAUUUACAGUUAUAAAAUAAAUAUGUCAUGGUGAUGAAAAGUACAGCAUUGGAAAUAUAGUCAAUAAUACUAUAAUAACUUUGUAUGGUGACACAGAUAGUAAUUAAACUUAUGGUGAGCAUUUUGUUAUGUAUAUAAUUGUUGAAUCACUAUAUUAUACACCUGGAACUAAUAUAAUAUUCUGAGUCAACUAUGCUUCAAUUAAAAAUUUUAGAAAGGAACAAAGAGUAGAAACUUAUAGAUAAAUAUAUAAGAAUUAAUGUGGAUUAAUAUUUUGAAAAAUAAUAUUGGGAAUGCUAAAGAUAAGCUUGAUGGUUAAAUAGAUGGUGUUUUUAGUGUUUGUUUUUUAAAGAAUUGCUAUCGAUUUUCAGAUUAUAAGUUAAAAUAUUUUUACAUUUUCCAUUUUUUACUGGAAAACACACAUAACAUACAAUUUAUCUUAAUCAUUUUUAAGUGUCUAGUUCAGUAUUAAUACAUUCAUAUUGUUGUGCAACCAUCUCCACUAUCCAACUCCAGAAUGUUUUUUAUCUUGCAAAACUGAAACCCUAUACUUAUUAAGCAAUAACUCCUCAUUCCCUCCUUCCCCCAGCUGGUGGCACCCACCAUUCUACAUUUUGUCUGUGUGAUUGUGACUGCUCUAAGUCCCUCAUAUCAGUGGAAUCAUAUGGUAUUUGUCUUUUCUUGACUGACCUAGUUCACUUAGCAUAAUGUCCUCAAGCUUCAUCCAUGUUGUGGCACAGAGCAGGAUUUCCUUCUUUUAUUAAGGUUGAAUAGUAUGCCAUUUUAUGUAUAUACCACAUUUUGUUUAUCCAUUUGUCCAUCCAGUGAUGGACACGAAUUGUCUCCACAUUUUAGCUAUUGUGAAUAAUGCAGCUUGAACAUGAAAACAGAUAUAUCUCUUCCAGAUACUGCUUUCAGUUUUCUUUUGGUUAUAUACCUGGAAUAGGAAUUGCUGGAUCAUGUGGUCAUUCUAUUUUAAAAUAUUUGAGGAGCCACCACACUGGUUUCCACAAUGGCUAUACCAUUUUGCAUUCAUAUUAACAAUGCACAAGGAUUCCUUUCUUCAUAUCCUUGCCAAAAUUUUUUUUCUGUUUUUUUUUUUUUCUUAAUAGUCAUUCUAAUGGGUCUGAGGUGGUCUCACAUUAUAGUUUUGAUUUGCAUUUCCCCAGUGAUUAGUGAUGUCUAGCAUCUUUCCAGGUGCUUAUUGGUCACUUAUAUAUUUUCUUUAGAGAAAUGUCUAUUCAAAUUCUUUGACCAUUUUUGAAUCAGGUUGUUUGAUUUUAAAAUUUUCAUGGAGUCCAAUUUGUUUACCUUUUCUUUUGUUGUCUGUGCCUUUGGCAUCAUAUACAAGAAAUGUAAUACUGUGAAGCUUUUGUUUUCUAUUGUCUUUUAAGAGUUUUUUUAUAUUUUCGGGUCUUACAUUUAGGUCAUGGAUCCAUUUUAGGUUGAUUUUUGUAUACAGUGUUAGGUAAGAGUCCAACUUCAUUCAUUUGCAUCUCUGGAUAUCCAGUUUUCCUAUAACUAUUUGCUGAAAAUACUAUCUUUUCCCUGUUGAAUGGUCUUGACAUCCUUUAUCAAAACUCAUUUGACUGCAUAUUCAAGGGUAUAUUUUUGGAGUCUUUUCUAUAUCCUUGGCAUAUAUGUCUCUUUUUAUGCCAGUACCACACUGUUUUGAUUAGUGUAGUUUUGUAGGAAGUUGAAAUCAGGAAGUGUGAGAAUUCCAAUUUUGUUCUUCUUUCAGGAUUAUUUUGGCUAUUCGGGGUCCCUUACAAUUCCAUGUGAAGCUUAGGAUGAUUUGUCCUAUUAUUGUAAGAAAUGUCUUUGGGAUUUUGAUAGGGAUUGCAUUGAAUCUUAAGAUUGCUUUGGCUAGUAUUGACAUCUUAACACUGUUAGGUCCUCCAACCCAUAAAUAAAUGCUUUUCAUUUGUUUAUGUCUUGUUUAAUUUCUUUCAAAAAUGUUUUGUAAUUUUCAUUGAACAAGUCUUUCACCUCC
Molecule: long non-coding RNA, 3179 nt
Filed under: Canis lupus familiaris (dog)
Lineage: Eukaryota; Metazoa; Chordata; Mammalia; Carnivora; Canidae
Description: lncRNA (ENSCAFG00000050168.1)
Source: RNAcentral